Drosophila nasuta is the source of this 325-nucleotide long non-coding RNA. RefSeq lists it as uncharacterized. Lineage: Eukaryota; Metazoa; Arthropoda; Insecta; Diptera; Drosophilidae. The record is from RefSeq and is a predicted model, not a curated record. The transcript has 3 exons.
ACAAAUGAGGCCAAAAGUAGUUCAUUCCAACCCAAAAAUACUAUAAGGCGUCUUUAAAGAAUUUAUGGUGUAAACAACAGUUACUUAAUUUAUUCGGUUUAUGAACAUUUCCAAAAGAAAAACGAGUCCAGCCAAAGUCAAGCCAAUAGCCCAAAGAGCGAAUGCAUAGUAAAAGAAUUCCAAAUCGAAUCACUCAUCAUCUUUGCGAAAAUGCCACACUCAAAGAUACGUCUCAUAUAGACAUUCAACAAGUUGAGGCAACAUACAUGAAGCUAGAAUUCAUUCCAAUGCGAGCUGUAUUAAGGACCGCAGGUAUGUCAUAUCG